Molecule: transfer RNA, 71 nt
Filed under: Marmota monax (woodchuck)
Lineage: Eukaryota; Metazoa; Chordata; Mammalia; Rodentia; Sciuridae
Description: tRNA.Ala
Source: RNAcentral
GGGGUUGUGGCUCAGCGGUAGAGCGCUCACCUAGCAUGUGCAAGGGCCUGAGUUCGUUCCUCAGCACUACA